UAAGAUGCGAGUGGCCCAGGGAGGGGCCAGGCCCCAUGGCCUCAACCAAUAACCUUGGUUUGGCUGCCCGACUGAUGGGUGAUCUCACAAGUCUCCCUCCCCGACCCGAAAAAGUAAUAACCUUUCAUCUGUGCUGUGUCUUGGGUUCGCCAGUUUCUCCCACGGCCAGACUUGAAUCUUGAUUGGUAAGAAACCCUCAAAGCCCUCGGCUCAGCCUCAAACUAGAAAAUUCAAGUUUCUCUUAAAAGGAAUUUUAGUCUGGUGAGAUGUGUAACUAUCAAGCUUGGGAAGACGAUUCUCUGCAGGGUGAAGAUUAUGCACAGAGCACGGCAGAUGGCGUAGAUGUUGGGGAGACAAGGUGGGGAGCACGGCUGGCAAUGUUGGAAGCGCGGAUAGCUCGAGUGGAGGCUAGGGUGGAAAAACUGGAGGCAAAGAUGCUGUAUCUGCAAAAGGGAAUGCGUGUUGUUUGCGCGCUGUUUCUGGUUACUCUUAUCUAUGCAGUUGUCAAGUAAAUGUUAGGGGUGAUUAGCUGGUUAGUUUCAGCUGUGUAUUGCUCUUCUUUGUCUGUAAAAUAUGUAGUUAGGCAUCUGAA
Malus domestica (apple) is the source of this 592-nucleotide long non-coding RNA. RefSeq lists it as uncharacterized. The record is from RefSeq and is a predicted model, not a curated record. NCBI's taxonomy places the organism in Eukaryota, Viridiplantae, Streptophyta, Magnoliopsida, Rosales, Rosaceae.